Molecule: ribosomal RNA, 459 nt
Filed under: uncultured Treponema sp.
Lineage: Bacteria; Pseudomonadati; Spirochaetota; Spirochaetia; Treponematales; Treponemataceae
Description: bacterial SSU rRNA
Rfam family: Bacterial small subunit ribosomal RNA
Source: RNAcentral
ACGGAAGGCAGCAGCUAAGAAUAUUCCGCAAUGGGGGAAACCCUGACGGAGCGACGCCGCGUGGAUGAUGAAGGCCGGAAGGUUGUAAAAUCCUUUUAAGCAUGAAGAAUAAUCAGGACAGGUAAUGGUCUUGAGGUGACGGUAGUGCUUGAAUAAGCAACGGCUAAUUACGUGCCAGCAGCCGCGGUAAUACGUAAGUUGCGAGAGUUGUUCGGAAUUAUUGGGCGUAAAGGGCAUGUAGGCGGAUAUUCAAGCUUGGUGUGAAAGGCGGGAGCUUAACUCCCGGACUGCGUUGAGAACUGCAUAACUAGAGUGACUGAGGGGCAGGCAGAAUUCCAGGUGUAGGGGUGAAAUCUGUAGAUAUCUGGAAGAAUACCAAUGGCGGAGGCAGCCUGCCAGCAGAUGACUGACGCUGAGGUGCGAAGGUGCGGGGAGCAAACAGGAUUAGAUACCCUGGUA